CCUACGGGUGGCAGCAGUGGGGAAUAUUGGGCAAUGGGCGCAAGCCUGACCCAGCAACGCCGCGUGAAGGAAGAAGGCUUUCGGGUUGUAAACUUCUUUUCUGGGGGACGAACAAAUGACGGUACCCCAGGAAUAAGCCACGGCUAACUACGUGCCAGCAGCCGCGGUAAUACGUAGGUGGCAAGCGUUAUCCGGAUUUAUUGGGUGUAAAGGGCGUGUAGGCGGGAAUGCAAGUCAGAUGUGAAAACUAUGGGCUCAACCCAUAGCCUGCAUGUGAAACUGUUUUUCUUGAGUACUGGAGAGGCAGACGGAAUUCCUAGUGUAGCGGUGAAAUGCGUAGAUAGUAGGAGGAACACCAGUGGCGAAGGCGGUCUGCUGGACAGCAACUGACGCUGAGGCGCGAAAGCGUGGGGAGCAAACAGGAUUAGAUACCCGAGUAGUC
This 442-nucleotide ribosomal RNA is filed under the name uncultured bacterium. RNAcentral's name for it is "partial 16S ribosomal RNA". It matches the Rfam family "Bacterial small subunit ribosomal RNA", at positions 338 to 795 of the family's 1533-position model. The record is from RNAcentral.